UAAACGACUCUCGGCAACGGAUAUCUCGGCUCAUGCAUCGAUGAAGAACGUAGCAAAAUGCGAUACUUGGUGUGAAUUGCAGAAUCCCGUGAACCAUCGAGUUUUUGAACGCAAGUUGCGCCCGAAGCCUUCUGGUUGAGGGCACGUCUGCCUGGGCGUCACGC
This 164-nucleotide ribosomal RNA is filed under the name Dubautia imbricata subsp. imbricata. Its description in RNAcentral is "5.8S ribosomal RNA". It matches the Rfam family "5.8S ribosomal RNA". Rfam says of the family: 5.8S ribosomal RNA (5.8S rRNA) is a component of the large subunit of the eukaryotic ribosome. RNAcentral also lists the same sequence under 26 other names. The record is from RNAcentral. Lineage: Eukaryota; Viridiplantae; Streptophyta; Magnoliopsida; Asterales; Asteraceae.